Molecule: ribosomal RNA, 565 nt
Organism: Trypanosoma vivax Y486
Lineage: Eukaryota; Euglenozoa; Kinetoplastea; Trypanosomatida; Trypanosomatidae
Rfam family: Trypanosomatid mitochondrial large subunit ribosomal RNA
Source: Rfam
UUUUAAAUGCGUUUAUUAAAUGCGUUUGUCUAAGUAUUUUAUUUAAGAUUAUUCUUGUAUAUAUAUUUUCUUUUUAUUAGUUCUUAUUACAAUAUAUAUAUUCCUUAUUAUUAAAAUAUUUGUAGCAUAGUAAUUUAUUAAUUAAUUAUUAAAGAGUUCCAUAGAAAUUUUUUAAAUUAUAACAAAUAAAAUAAUGUAUGAAUUAAAAUAAAAAUUUUAAUAAAAAUUAAAUAAUUAAAAUAGGGCAAGUCCUACUCUCCUUUACAAAGAGAACAUUAUUAUAUAUGUAUUUGUAUGUUUGAUUGGGGCAAUACUAUAUUUAGUUAUAUAGAAAAAGAACUAUAAUUAUUGAAAUAGUAAAAGGUUCGAGCAGGUUAACAAGCAUAUAUAUAAAAUGUGUUUCAUCGUCUACUUAUUGUUUUAAAUUGAUUGUUCAUCAAAAUUACAAUUCGUUAGUUGGGUUAAAAUCGUUGUAAAGCAGAUUUGUUUAUAUAUUUAAUUAAUAAAUAAAAGUAAAAUAAAUAUUAGUACGCAAGGAUUGAUUAUAAUUAUUUAAAUUGAUGAU